This 58-nucleotide transfer RNA is filed under the name Basidiobolus meristosporus CBS 931.73. It matches the Rfam family "tRNA", at positions 8 to 63 of the family's 71-position model. Rfam says of the family: Transfer RNA (tRNA) molecules are approximately 80 nucleotides in length. Their secondary structure includes four short double-helical elements and three loops (D, anti-codon, and T loops). Further hydrogen bonds mediate the characteristic L-shaped molecular structure. tRNAs have two regions of fundamental functional importance: the anti-codon, which is responsible for specific mRNA codon recognition, and the 3' end, to which the tRNAs corresponding amino acid is attached (by aminoacyl-tRNA synthetases). tRNAs cope with the degeneracy of the genetic code in two manners: having more than one tRNA (with a specific anti-codon) for a particular amino acid; and 'wobble' base-pairing, i.e. permitting non-standard base-pairing at the 3rd anti-codon position. Lineage: Eukaryota; Fungi; Basidiobolomycota; Basidiobolomycetes; Basidiobolales; Basidiobolaceae. The record is from Rfam by way of RNAcentral.
UGGUCUAAUGGAUAAGGCAUCAGACUUCGGAUCUGGGGAUUGUGGGUUCAAGUCCCAU